This 253-nucleotide ribosomal RNA is filed under the name uncultured bacterium. Its description in RNAcentral is "partial 16S ribosomal RNA". It matches the Rfam family "Bacterial small subunit ribosomal RNA", at positions 524 to 776 of the family's 1533-position model. The record is from RNAcentral.
UACGUAGGUGACAAGCGUUGUCCGGAUUUACUGGGCGUAAAGAGCGCGCAGGCGGUCGUUCAAGUCGAGUGUGAAAGCCCCCGGCUCAACCGGGGAGGGUCACUCGAUACUGAUCGACUCGAAGGCAGGAGAGGGAAGUGGAAUUCCCGGUGUAGUGGUGAAAUGCGUAGAUAUCGGGAGGAACACCAGUGGCGAAGGCGGCUUCCUGGCCUGUUCUUGACGCUGAGGCGCGAAAGCUAGGGGAGCAAACGGG